GGAAAGAACAGCACGUAUGAAAGCUGAAAGAAAGGAAAGAACUUUGGAAAGGUUUCUGCUGUCUCAAAAGCACAUAGUCUAUACUGACCCUCUUGGUGUUCAGGCUGGAAGCGCUGUGAAAGUUUUUUAUAAUCCUGCGCUAACACAGUUCUGAAUGGUAAAUCUGAAGUUUGGAUCAGAUGUUCAUUUAACCGUUGGACACACCGCAAAGGCCCAUUGCCGCCUCAGAAGAUGUUGGCAGCAGAUAAUGGUUCUCAUGUCAAAGCCACUGUCAAGGUUCCAUUAGAUGCAUACAUGAUGGAUUUUGUAUUCUCGGAGAGAGAAGACGGUGGAAUUUUUGACAAUAGAGAUGGCAUGGAUUACCACGUACCUGUAUUUGGAGGAAUUGUGAAGGAGCCACCAAUGCACAUUGUGCAUGUUGCUGUUGAAAUGGCCCCAAUUGCGAAGGUUGGAGGACUUGGAGAUGUUGUGACUAGUCUCUCCCGUGCUGUACAAGAUUUAAAUCACAGUGUGGACGUCAUUCUUCCAAAGUAUGACUGUUUGAACCUUAGCCAUGUAAAGGACUUUCAUUAUCAGAAAAGCUAUUCCUGGGGUGGAACGGAAAUAAAAGUGUGGUUUGGAAAGGUGGAAGGCCUUUCUGUCUACUUUUUGGAGCCUCUGAAUGGGAUGUUUUCGACUGGUUGCAUAUAUGGCUGCCGGAAUGACGGGGAGAGGUUCAAACAGUCAUACUUUGGAAGAAU
RNAcentral lists this unclassified non-coding RNA (740 nucleotides) under Hevea brasiliensis (rubber tree). The record is from RNAcentral. Lineage: Eukaryota; Viridiplantae; Streptophyta; Magnoliopsida; Malpighiales; Euphorbiaceae.